This 89-nucleotide unclassified non-coding RNA is filed under the name Pseudomonas granadensis. Lineage: Bacteria; Pseudomonadati; Pseudomonadota; Gammaproteobacteria; Pseudomonadales; Pseudomonadaceae. The record is from RNAcentral.
UGUAGGAGUGAGCCUGCUCGCGAUAGCGGUGUGUCAGAUGAUAAUUUUCUGACUGAUACACCGCGAUCGCGAGCAGGCUCACUCCUACA